This 408-nucleotide ribosomal RNA is filed under the name uncultured bacterium. RNAcentral's name for it is "partial 16S ribosomal RNA". It matches the Rfam family "Bacterial small subunit ribosomal RNA", at positions 28 to 526 of the family's 1533-position model. The record is from RNAcentral.
GACGAACGCUGGCGGCGUGCUUAACACAUGCAAGUCGAACGAAGUGUCGAACGGGUGAGUAACGCGUAAUCAACCUGCCCUUCAGAGGGGGACAACAGUUGGAAACGACUGCUAAUACCGCAUACUGAAGGUGGGGAUUGCUUCUGAUUAGCUAGUUGGAGGGGUAACGGCCGACCAGGGCGAUGAGCAGUAGCCGGUCUGAGAGGAUGAACGGCAGCAUUGGGACUGAGACACGGCCCAGACUCCUACGGGAGGCAGCAGUGGGUAGUCUUCCGCAAGGGACGAAAGUCUGACGGAGCAACGCAGCGUGAUUGAUGACGGCCUUCGGGUUGUAGAGCUCUGUUAAUCGGGACGCGGUACCGGAAUAGAAAGCCACGGCUAACUACGUGCCAGCAGCCGCGGUAAUUC